This 458-nucleotide ribosomal RNA is filed under the name uncultured bacterium. RNAcentral's name for it is "partial 16S ribosomal RNA". It matches the Rfam family "Bacterial small subunit ribosomal RNA", at positions 339 to 795 of the family's 1533-position model. The record is from RNAcentral.
CUACGGGUUGCUGCAGUAGGAAAUUUUCGGCAAUGGGGGAAACCCUGACCGAGCAACGCCGCGUGAAUGACGAAGUACUUCGGUAUGUAAAGUUCUUUUAUCAGGGAAGAAUGACUUAUGGAAAAAUAAGUGUGACGGUACCUGAUGAAUAAGCCCCGGCUAACUAUGUAGCCAGCAGCCGCGGUAAUACAUAGGGGGCAAGCGUUAUCCGGAAUUAUUGGGGGUAAAGGGUGCGUAGGUGGUUAGAUAAGUCUUAGGUGUAAGUGCAGAGCUUAACUCUGUGAUGCUAGAGAAACUGUCUGACUUGAGUGUGGUAGAGGCAAGUGGAAUUCCAUGUGUAGCGGUAAAAUGCGUAAAUAUAUGGAGGAACACCAGUGGCGAAGGCGGCUUGCUGGGCCAUAACUGACACUGAGGCACGAAAGCGUGGGGAGCAAACAGGAUUAGAUACCCUUGUAGUC